AUCAAGAAGACAAGGAAUGUGUGAAACA
RNAcentral lists this non-coding RNA (28 nucleotides) under Cricetulus griseus (Chinese hamster). The record is from RNAcentral. Lineage: Eukaryota; Metazoa; Chordata; Mammalia; Rodentia; Cricetidae.